RNAcentral lists this ribosomal RNA (606 nucleotides) under Triticum aestivum (bread wheat). RNAcentral describes it as "partial small subunit ribosomal RNA". Lineage: Eukaryota; Viridiplantae; Streptophyta; Magnoliopsida; Poales; Poaceae. The record is from RNAcentral.
AUGGAAGCACGAAUGAGGCUGGUAGUUCAGGCAGCAACACUGAUUCUUGUGAUUCAGGCAUGGCUCAUGUUCAUGCAUAGGAGAGUUGUUCGUCAUGGUGAGAGACCUGGCAUUUGUUAUGCUCCAAUGCUUAUGUGGGAGCAGAAGAGGAUCACCAAUCUGAACUACAUCUACAACUACGAUGACACAGAGGCCAUGUGGAUUCUUGGAAUGAAAAGAACACCAUUUGCCAGACUUGUCUAGAUUUUCAGGAGGAAAAGGCUGCUGUAAGAUAGCAUCCACACCAGUAUGGACGAGCAAGUGGCCAUGUUCCUCUAUGUUGCUGGCCAUAACCAGAGGUUCCGAGUUAUACACAACACGUUCAGGGGAUCAAUUGAGACCAUCUCAAGGUACUUCAAGCAAGUGGUCUAUCCUGUUGGGGAGCUCAGAGGAGAGAUGAUCAACUCACCAACCGGCCAGACUCCUACCAAGAUUCACACUAAUCCAAGAUGGUAUCCAUACUUCUAGGUGAGUACUAACAGUAUGUGGCUUGAUAUGCUUGUAUUGUUCAAGGUGAGAACUAACACAAUCUUCAUUUGCCAUUCCAGGAUUGCAUUGGGGCAAUAG